RNAcentral lists this long non-coding RNA (1585 nucleotides) under Cyanistes caeruleus (blue tit). RNAcentral describes it as "lncRNA (ENSCCEG00000007236.1)". The record is from RNAcentral. Lineage: Eukaryota; Metazoa; Chordata; Aves; Passeriformes; Paridae.
AUGCUGCCAGAGGGAGCUGGCCCAGCGUGGGCUGUGCCUGUGCCUGUCCUGACACGCAUCCCAGGUGGGCCAGGGGGCCCUGUGCCUUCCCCAAGCCCUGCACCAAGCCCAGAGGAUGGGGCUGGGGUGGGCUCGGGGGGGUGCUUGGGGUACUCUGUGCCAGUGAAACCCACAAUGGGCUGGCUGGGCUCCCUGCAGCUCUCCGGGGUGGGUGGAGUGCAGCCGUGCUGGGCAGAACCUCUGGCUGUGUCCACCUGGGCCUGCACCUCUUCACACAACACCGUCAGGGCCAAGAGGGGCCCUGCUCCCCGGGGAAGGGAUGGGAUGUGGGCCAGCACCGAGCUUUCCCACACUGCCGGCUGCUCCGCUGCCACUGCUCCCCUCACCCUCACCUUCUGCCGCUCCCUGCUGCUGCAUUUUGGGGGGGCCCUAGGGCUCACAUUAGGCUUUGCACUCGGGGAUAAAUCCAGAGGGAUUCAGCGUCUGCGAUGGCUGAGGCACUCCCUGGAGCUGGAAUCCUCUGCCCGCUGUUUUUCUGGAAUGAGAGGUCUGGACGCCCUGGAGCUGGACAUCCUACCGGAAUGAGAGUGACAGAGUUCCCCUCCAUNNNNNNNNNNNNNNNNNNNNNNNNNNNNNNNNNNNNNNNNNNNNGAGCACGGAGAAGCCCUGCUGUGGAGCCACGACCUCUGAACGCUGCAGCCGCCGCCCCCCUGGUGGGCAGUGGGGAGCCCACCAGGGUGCCCCGGGCACGGCAGGGGAUGGGCAGGCACCAGGAGCAGGGAGGGUGAGGCAGGUGCAGAGCCGGAGGCAGGGAAUGAGCGGAGCACGCCCAGCCCUUGGCUCGGCUCUCUUUUCCCUUCUCCUGUUUGGGAAAGCAAUGAGAAAUCCAAACAUUACCAUAAAUGCUGAAAGCAUCCUGACUCCGUCACUGGCGUGCGCUCCCUGGGGAUCCAGGCGCCCGCUGCCUCAGAGCCACAGGGACAGGGCUGGCGGCAGCCAGACAGCAGGACAGAGCCUAGGCGGGGACAGACAGACACAGAUGUGCCACCCUGGCCCCAGCCCUGCCUGCUCAGGGAGGCACCUGCAGGAAGGUGACCCCAGCUCCCUUCGGGGCUUGUGCCUCGCUGCCCAGGGUGUGGUGCUUCCCUCCUUGGCCCCACACUGGCCGGAGACUCCUGGGCUGCACAUGGCUUUCCCGUGGGUCAUCGUGCACUGCACUCGCCCUCUCCUUCCUUAAAAAGCCUUCAAGGCUGGAUUUUCCUGAACUUGUCAUCACCUUCAAGGCAGCAGGGCUGGACCAUCCCCUGGGGCACCGCAGAGCAGAGGCUUUUUUGGCUGGCAUCCAGCAGGGAGGGCAGGACCUGCUCCAGGACUGUAACCUUGGUUUGGGCCAUGGCCAUGGCUUUAUGUUCAAACCUCCUGCAGGAAACUGCUUGGCCGGGUGACCCUGGGCUGACUGUCCCAAACUGGCCCAGGGGAUCCCGCUGGCAAGUGCACACCCUCCCUGUGCCAGGUCUGAGGCUGGUACAAACUCAUCUCAUGCAUGGACACUGCAGGUGCUGGGAUCCCCCUGUGCUGCUUGGAG